RNAcentral lists this long non-coding RNA (1667 nucleotides) under Anser cygnoides (Swan goose). RNAcentral's name for it is "lncRNA (ENSACDG00005017399.1)". Lineage: Eukaryota; Metazoa; Chordata; Aves; Anseriformes; Anatidae. The record is from RNAcentral.
AUGCUCAGAAAAUCACAAACCACCUACCUGGCAAAGCACGGUCUUCAGAAGAUUUUGUCCAUAGUGGUUUUUUUAUUAUUAUUUUUUAACCUAAAAGCUGACCAGGAACUGGAGGGAGGAAGUUUAGCUUAUGCAUUUCAUAGGUCUUUAAUGGACAUUUUAUUACUGACUGUAAUGUGUCUUGUCAUUUCUUUCCUCCCCAAUAGACUAAUGGAGAGAAAGUGUACAGCUUGGUGUGACGAUUUUGAGUCUCGACUACGACUUCUGGAGAACUGCAACAGAGCAUUUCCUGGAAGGGUCACCCAAAAAGAGCCUGAGGACAAAGAAGAAAAUCGGAAGAUGAAAGAGAAGAUCAAACAACUAAAGGCACGAAACCACGAGCUCUUGUCUAAAUUGAUGAGCAUGCACAAGCAAUCAGAGAACAUGAAUGACCCUUCACGCUUGUCUGCUGUGCUGCAUUUGUAUGAGAUGGUUAGGCUACAUGACUGGGAAAAAUGCAGGAAAUCCUCAACGAAUAUGACAUAUACAAAUGGCAGAAACAUAAUUAAGAAGCUGUUUGAUGCCUGUGAGGAAUAUAUAGAGAAGAGAAAAAAUGACAUAUUUAACGUCCUUGACAUUUCAUCUUUGAAUUACGCUUACGAAUCUCAGGAAUUUGCCAACUGCAAACAAGAGCUGAUGCCAAUUGUAACGGAACUCUUAAGAAAUGCCUAUUGCCAACGUUACUCAGACUUUAACAAAAUCAUUACUGAGGUAAGUAAAGACACAGCCCAGAAACAGGGGCAAAGAUUCAGUUUUCUGGUUAUGUCUGCGCAGUUUGGUACAAAACAGGACAGGUCUUUCUUCUGCUUGGAGUUAUUUUCCACUUGUAGAGAGGGUCUUCUAGCCCGUAUACUCCCAUAUAUUCCCCCAGGCAUGCACAGAGAUACAUGUAACCUCCCCAAAACUGCAUCAGGAGCAGUGAGGAAUGGCAGGAGAGGCAGGGCGGUGCCCUCCCUAACAAGGGUGCAGUCCUACCAGGUGAGCAGAGCAGGACUGGUGAUGGUGAUCAGGGUCAGUCACAGAGUAGCGAUCACCAGGCAAGCCCACAGUGAUGGGGCAAGAUGAGCUGAGAAUUCAGUCCGUGGGUCAGAAGAAACGGUACAAGGCUGGACACAGGCAUCCCAACAUCAUAGCUCAGGCAAGCACCCACCCGAGCUUGAAACAACCACUGGACUGAGGGGCAGAGGCUAUGUGGGUAGGGGCACCAGCUGAGGCUUCUCAUAACUUUCUACAUCACUCUUUCUGCCAGCAUUGUUGUUUUCAUAGCAGUCUGAUCCAAGGUUUUACAGCUAUGCUAUAUCAGAGCAGACCCUGAACACAAGCAGUCAAACCCUUGGGGAUGCAAGGGAAAGCUUGCAGAAGCUGUUGGUGUGCUCUGAGACCCCUUGCUAUACAAAUGGACUAUAGACUAGUGGUUUUUUUCCAGGAGAUAUGUACAUACAAAGCUUCCAGAGAGCAGCUUCCUCCUUUUGCAGCUAGCUAGGCCUUUUCAAAAGCUUAGCCUUGUCAAGGUCUUUGCAGAACUCUGUUGAAUAUGAGGAAAUACAGACAGCUGCUGAAUGCUGGAAUGGUCCAGCAGCCAGGACUUAGUAAAUAAAAGAUCCUUUAAGGUGACCCUGGGACCCGUG